CAUGAAGUUGGAAUUGCUAGUAAUCGCGGAUCAGCAUGCCGCGGUGAAUACGUUCCCGGGGAUUGUACACACCGCCCGUCACACCAUGAGAGUCGGGAACACCCAAAGUCCGUAGUCUAACCGCAAGGAGGGCGCGGCCUAAGGUGGGUUCGAUAAUUGGGGUGAAGUCGUAACAAGGUAUC
This 182-nucleotide ribosomal RNA is filed under the name uncultured bacterium. Its description in RNAcentral is "partial 16S ribosomal RNA". It matches the Rfam family "Bacterial small subunit ribosomal RNA", at positions 1319 to 1500 of the family's 1533-position model. The record is from RNAcentral.